RNAcentral lists this ribosomal RNA (397 nucleotides) under uncultured bacterium. RNAcentral describes it as "bacterial SSU rRNA". It matches the Rfam family "Bacterial small subunit ribosomal RNA", at positions 73 to 463 of the family's 1533-position model. The record is from RNAcentral.
AAGCCCUUCGGGGUGAGUAAAGUGGCGAACGGGUGAGUACACGUGGGCAAUCUGCCCUUCGUUGGGGGACAACCGGGGGAAACCCCGGCUAAUACCCCGUAAGCUUGCGGGAUCGCAUGGUCCKGCAAGGAGAGGUAGCUUCGGCCAUCCGGCGAAGGAGGAGCCCGCGGUACAUUAGCUAGUUGGUGAGGUAAUGGCUCACCAAGGCGACGAUGUAUAGCUGGUCUGAGAGGAUGAUCAGCCACACUGGGACUGAGACACGGCCCAGACUCCUACGGGAGGCAGCAGUCGGGAAUCUUGCGCAAUGGGCGAAAGCCUGACGCAGCAACGCCGUGUGAGCGACGAAGGCCCUAGGGUCGUAAAGCUCUGUUGUUAGGGAYGAAGGGCGAAGGGUUAA